Molecule: long non-coding RNA, 1529 nt
Organism: Homo sapiens (human)
Lineage: Eukaryota; Metazoa; Chordata; Mammalia; Primates; Hominidae
Gene: FTX
Product: FTX transcript, XIST regulator
Source: Ensembl
GGCCCACAAAGCCUUUGUAGAAAAAGAUCUGUGCCCACUCUGGAUCAUCACUCGACAGUGAUGGUUUCAUUUCUCAUUCCAUUCACCAGACCAGAAAUUCAUAUUUAUUUACUUCAUUUGUCAUUGCUUGUGACAAGUCUUUUUCCUCUUUUACAGAUAAGCCAGCUAAGACAUGUUUUAAAGUAGAAGAUUAUAAGACCUCCCCCAGGGUCCUGCAGUCAGUCAGUUAUACCCUGCCCUUCAACAUCAAGCUUUGAACCUCUACUCUAGAAAUACCUUUUAUUAUAUUCAAACUUGAAGCACGUGGACAUAGCAUGCUUUGGUGCCUUCGUCCUUGCCCCCCUCCUUCCUACACAGUUCUUUGCAAUGAGAAUAUGGGAAAUAAGGACUUAAUGUGAGAUAAGGCAGAAAGGUGAUGCCACACUCAAUCAGAAACUAUGCUACUGCUGAAGAGGUAUAUUGAGCCCUGCCUGGUUAACCUCCAGUGAGGUUAUUAGAGAAUUGGGAGAGGCUCAAAUCAGCAUCCUGCACCUAGUUAUCAAACCAUUGUGAAGUCUUGAUUCCUGGAUGGCCAGAAAACUUGUCAUUGGUCAAGAGCAACAUUAAGAUCUGCCUGUUACUCAUACUGAUGCUUCCUGCCCAGCAAGUUCAUCAGAGGGCGAGGAUGAAUUACGGUUGCCAUGAAUGUCCUUGUGAGGCAGUUGGGAAGCCUUGGCUGGAUUGUGAAGGAUAUUUGAAAAGUAUUUUAGAGUCCACCAGAUCAUCCAUGUGAGUGACCAUGCAGCAAAAGAAGGAGGGUCCUCUCAGUGAUUAAGGUAACAUAGUGAUUAAGGUAAGUAGGGAAAGAGAGGCUUACUUUGCCCUGAUUCUUGUCAGGGAGGCUCUUAGAGAUGCCAUUUCCAGAGCAUAAGUGACAGGCCAGCAUUUUCAAAGCUUGCAACUUAUUCUAUAAUAUAUCCUUCUUAAAACAAUUCAUGUAGAUUAUAUGCUCACCCAGUCUGGGAUCACUCCUGCAGAAGAUCAGAAGAACUGAAAUAUAGGUGACAUAAGCUCCUGCUUUUGUAAAUGUUUUGUUGAAACACAGUUGUGUUCAUCCAUUAUUGUCGAUGGCAGCUUUCAUGCUACAGCAGAGUUGAGUAGUUGGGAGAGAAACCAAAUGGACCAUAGAGUUUGAAAUAUUACUGUCUGGCCCUUCACAGAAAGUUUGCCAAUUCCUGGCAUAGGUUAAAUAAAUGUACUAUAUCCACAAAUCCUCCUCUCCCCAUUUUCCUUUCAAUGGGACUUGCAUUUACAGUUGAUCCUAGAAUGUAUGGAAUCUCAUAGUAAUCAGCUUGCUUCUGAAUUUCUUCCCACUCAAAUUAAGCUCACUCAGAAAGCACAUUCACAAAUUGGGCUACAUAUACAGAAGGAGCUAUGUUUUAUAUGCCUCACUGUAGUCAACUCAUUUAUCCUAUAUGUAUGGUUCCCCCAUUUUUUCCUUCUUUUCAGGGGUAACUUUUAAACUUGAGCCAUUCAUGAGUAUCCAAAAA